UGGGGAGGGACGAACAAGUUGCGACCUAAUACGUCGCGACUCUGACGGUAGCUCCUUAGCAAGCACCGGCUAACUCUGUGCCAGCAGCCGCGGUAAGACAGAGGCUGCAAACGUUGCUCGGAAUUACUGGGCGUAAAGCGCAUGUAGGCGGCUUCGUAAGUCCGGAUGUGAAAUCCCUCGGCUUAACCGAGGAAGUGCAUUCGAUACUGCAGAGCUAGAGUAUCGGAGAGGGUCGUGGAAUUACCUGGUGUAGAGGUGAAAUUCGUAGAUAUCA
RNAcentral lists this ribosomal RNA (274 nucleotides) under uncultured bacterium. RNAcentral describes it as "partial 16S ribosomal RNA". It matches the Rfam family "Bacterial small subunit ribosomal RNA", at positions 434 to 699 of the family's 1533-position model. The record is from RNAcentral.